UAGGCAAAUGGCGGCUCAGAAGGCAGCAUAGGAAGGCAGCAGCCGCGGCAGGCGAGAGCCUCCUCGCGAUUCCGCUUUUCUGCGCAAGAUGACAUUUCGCUGUUACAAGAAGUUCACGCCCUCAACCCGUUUGAGGACCCAUCGCGAUGGGCCCAAAUCGCAAACAACCUUCUUCCAGCCACCGGCAAAAGUUUUAGCGCGCGAGUGGUACGCGACCGCCUCGACCUGCUGCUCGCGCAGUUUGCUGCAGAGGAUCGUGCCAACUCAAGAAGAAUGGCAGCGCAACUGCGGACACAUGCCGUGCCUCCACUUCCACUGAUGCUGCUGCUGCAGCGUACGUGGCAACCUCUUCGGUUGUCGAAGUACCGGAAAGUGCUGGCAACAUAUGGACCACUUGUGUUGUGGAUACGGCAGAGCUCCUCUCGGCAGCAGAUGCAGGCGAAACAUAUGAAAUUGUUGGUCUUGACGUGAGCAGAGAGUUACCUGCAGCUGCCACGGGCACCCCUUCGAUCGAUGUUGGAGGCCAUGCAUCUGCAGCUUCACCCGAGCAGACCAUGGAACCUGAAGCUAGCCGUCAGGUGCAGAGGGG
RNAcentral lists this unclassified non-coding RNA (589 nucleotides) under Ixodes scapularis (black-legged tick). RNAcentral's name for it is "uncharacterized LOC115308538, transcript variant X2". Lineage: Eukaryota; Metazoa; Arthropoda; Arachnida; Ixodida; Ixodidae. The record is from RNAcentral.